CGGUGACUCCGUCAGGUGGCUUAACAUGUCCUUGGAUAACAGGAUAAACCUUUUUCCAUGACUCACAAUGGAGGAAUUAGUAGUGGAUUGUGGAUAAAGACUCAAGACACAUGUCUCAACUUGGGGAGGUAGAUUUAAAGGUACUGUGCCUAGGUGGGGCCUAGCUCCCCCACACACAUAACAGUUAGUCUUAUUAUGUGAAUUAGCAUUGUACCUCAUCCAUUCCAGCCAUAAAUUAGUGUCUGAAAACCCUGUCUCGACUGCCAUGGUGUCCUCAAAGGUAGGAUUAGCGAUAGCAACCAUGUCAUGCAAAGUUUUAAUGUGAGGUUUAAGUGGAUUGAUAG
Non-coding RNA from Pelobates cultripes (western spadefoot toad), 344 nucleotides. The record is from the annotation of a GenBank genome assembly. NCBI's taxonomy places the organism in Eukaryota, Metazoa, Chordata, Amphibia, Anura, Pelobatidae.